AAGAAGAAGAUUAAUACUUAAAUAUGUAUAAGUUUGUUUGGGUAAAAGAUUGAAAAUACCCACAUGUCCCUAUAAGGAAAUACGUUAAACAAUUACCUUUUCCCCCUAAGCUUAUUAUCUUUUAGGGAAAUAUGUUUAAAAACUCCCAUAUUUGUUAAUCCUCAAAAGAUAAUGACAUGAAACUAUGUCCCUAGAAAAUCAGAGCUCAAUGUAAAUAUACAAGAUAAUAUAGUACCUGUGCUCAGCUACCUAGAAAUAUGGAGUUACUUACAUACAUCCACUUUAUAACAGUUAUUGAUAUAUUAAUUAUGUAUAAGCAUUCUUUUAACCAGCAGUGCAUAUCGCUAAACUCUGUGUCUCUGUUAUUUGAAGAACUUCGAAAAAUGAUUCGAGUGGUAGGCAUGCAUUUAAAGGACCAAGUUUUUUGUUCAUGCAUCAGUUUUUCACCUAAAUCACCUUCUUUAGGAAAGUAAAUCAAUGUGAAUUGUUUUGUUGGUUGAAUUUAGGUAGGGUUCUCUUUAUGUGCACUACUAACAGCUAAUAGCAAGAUAUCCCUAUAAGGAAGAAUAUCUGCUGCUAUGCCUGUGAAUAAAUCUAGAUAUCAUGCCAUUUCAGCAUCCAGAUCUUUAUAUAAGCAGCUUCCUUUCUUCUUAGAAUCCCAAGCCUCUUUUAAAGUGGAAGGCUCUGUUGAUUUCCCACUGCAGAGAUGAUAAGGUAAUUAAAGUGGUGGAGAUGAGAUCCAGAAUAACCAUAUUUACAUCCCACCUUAGGUGUGGGUGGUAUGGGAUCGAAGCUGAAAUCAGUAAGUAAGCAUUCACUAAAAUAUUUCAGUUUUCAGCACUGCUAGGCUAUAUGAAUGUCUGUUUAAAUAGGACUCCAAAAGACAGAAUUUAGGCAUGGAUGGAAUAUAUGUAUUUUAUUAGCUAUUUAUUAUAUGUGUGCCCUCACUUUUAAUGCGCAUAAGAUCUGCUAUCGGUUUUAUUCUUAUUGUAGAUGAAUGAUUAUACAUAUGUGACAUUUUGAUAUGGUUUUAUUUUGCUCAUUUACUGGUCAAAUGGGAGGAUCUGCACGAGAUAACGUCUGGAUAUGUAGUGUAAAUUUUUUCGAUGCCACUAUACAUUUUGUUAAUAGGAGCUAUCUCACCCAUUUGCCGGCAGAUAGUACUCUUUCAGAAAAUAUAGGAGAAAAAACAUGUACAUUUGUAAAAAAGGGAUUCAAUUGAUGAAGAGAAAUUAGAAUUCUUUAUGAUGGUUUGGACAUGUAACAGGAAGAUCAAAGAGUAUACUUAUGGGAGAAAUCAUUAGAUUCAAGUUGAAGAACUGCUAAGAGUAGGGUGGGUCAAAACAUAUCUGGAUUGACGCUGUAAAUGGACACACGCAGGUGCUAAUUUCGCAGGAUAACUCCUUUUUGCCUUGUUGGGUAGAAUGGAACGAAAAAUUAAUCAUGUACACAACAUUUUGACAACGAGCCGAAGACUGUUUCAUUGUCGUGGUUUUAAUUGUGUUUUUUUACUAUGUGGGAAUAGAUAAUACAGUGCAGAGCUCUAUGAGAAGGUUUUGUUGCCAAGUUUUCUUAUAGAGGAAUAAUCAGGAUCAUUCAAUAGUAUGCAGCAAUUUGCCUUGCGAUUUUUCUAUCGCUGGCGGUGAUGCAAGAUAUGAGAUGACAGAUUGACCUGCAUAAACUAGAAUUUCCUCUCUAGACAAUAGCAACGGUAGUUAAAAAGAUGAUUUAACUGUCAAACAUCGUCACACCAAAUUCUUCUCCAAUUUCAGGAGGCCAUCAGGUACUGGUGCAACUUUAGACCAUUGUUCCAAGGGUGGAGCUCCCUGAUCAUCAAAAACAUUAAGAAGAAACUGAACGUACUUUAUAGCUGUAACAGAAACUUCAUAGUGGUUACAAUGAUGGUUGGUGCAUGGUUCUGUAUUCUUCAGUGUGCAGGCCUUUAUAUAAGCAGACUCUCUUCCUCUCAGAACGCCAAACCUCUUUUCAAGUGAAAGGGUAUGUUAAUUCCCCACUGCAGGGAUGACAAGGCCAUUAAACUGGCGGAGUCUAGAUGCUGCAUAACCCUAUGUACGUCCCACCUUAGGUGUAGAUGCCAUGGGUCUGAAGCUGCAUUUGGUAAGUAAACAUUCGCUAAAAUAUUUCAGUUUUCAGCAUUGCUGGGUUGUAUGAGUAUCUGUUUAAAUAGGAUUUCAGAGACAAGGAAUUCAGGCAUGGAUGGAAUAUAUGUAUAUUGUACUUAUUUGUUAUAUGCGUGCACACACAUUUAAUGUGUAUAAGAUUUGGUAUCAUUUCUGUUGUUAUUGUUGAUAAAUGACUGUGCAUGUAUGACAUUCUGAUAUGGUUAUAUUUUGUUCAUUUACUGGUCAAAUUGGACGAUCUGCGUUAAUGUAAAUGUUUUUUUUAUGCCAUUGUACGGUAUAUUUGUGUAGUGUUUAAGAUAAAAUUCUUCAAGCGUUUGGGGCCUAUCUUUUGGCUAUACUGAAUGAUAAUUCUCAUAUCCAGUUGAAUUUAGGAAAUCUUCCUUUUGUACAUGCAAUUUUUGUUUGUUGCUAACUAUCUCAGUUUACUUUAAAUUCUAUUUGUAGAACCUUCAAUCUGGCAAGGGGUACGUGACCAUCAUACCAUGUAUGACUGUUGUGUCAUCUUGGGAAAUGUGGUUGGAUCAAAGCGAUGGAGUUCUGUUUAGCAUACUUUGCUGCUGCAUCAUUUUAGAUUGCAAGAAUCUCAGGUGAACUGCAAGUUGAUUUGCCAUUUUGUUGGCCUGGCUACAUCAGCGACUCCUCCCUUGCACAUUUCGGUUCUCCUCAGUGGUACGGGUCCCAAAGCAUCGUCAUUCCCAUAUUCAAGAGUUGCAUGGAGCUAUGGCUUUACGUGAGGAAUUUUGUUAAGAUUUGGCAUUUGUUUGAAGGAGUGAGAGGCUGAAUAAUGUUUGGUUGAAGAAGACAGAGGAAUCGGGGUGAGAUUCGAACUGUGGUGAUAUAUGAUAUUUCGCUUAGUUUGGUAUAUGCUGAUGUUGUAUGGUAUGGUUGAUUUGUGUUGUUGAUUAAUGUAUUGUUGAACUUGGUUAGUGGUAUAUUAGUAAAUCAGAGACACAUUCAGUAGGCUUUUGUUCUCUCUUCUAUCAGUUCUAUGUAUCAAUCCAAUUGGCGUCUUAGUUCUGUUAAACUUUUGCUUCAUGUUUCUGAACAUGUCAAGAUGUUUGGUUUACUUGAUAGAGAAACAUUGUU
Molecule: RNA transcript, 3230 nt
Organism: Asparagus officinalis (garden asparagus)
Lineage: Eukaryota; Viridiplantae; Streptophyta; Magnoliopsida; Asparagales; Asparagaceae
Exons: 3
Source: RefSeq, a predicted model, not a curated record